CAUUACACUCCUGCCUGAAUUUAGUGCAUCUCCCCAGUAACAGAAUGCUUGUGCUACAGGGGAUCGAUAGUGCUUGGGCUGCCUAUUGCUGCGGGCAAGUCACUAUGCCAUUAGGUCCGGAGAGAAAUUUAAGUUAUUGAUUGUGUGUUCUGGUCUGAUAGCAAUACUUUUGUUUAUAUUUCUGCUAUGAUUUUGCCUGGAAUGACAUUUGUGGUGACCCCACAGCUUUCCCUGAUGGUGGAUCAACUCGACUGAGGAAGGCAGAAAGCUCGUUGCAUUUUUGCCGGGUAGUUCUAGCAAGCAGUCAGGUAUGCGCUACCAAUAUCUCUUAUUGUGAUUAAUGAUGCUCACUGUAUUUCUGGAUGUGAACAAUUGAAGUUCAUGAAUCCUGACAAGUAUGCCGAAGCGGAAUCUGAGUUAGAGAGGCAAGUUCUUGCAACUUUUCAUCAAGGAAUUGUUACUGUAGUCUGGUGGAUGAAAUUUACAGUUCUUGCUAGGGCUGAGGCUGGUAUUACUGGGACUCAUGAGUCUGCAGUAGAAAGUGUGAAGGCCUCCACAUACUCUCAUAUUAUUUGUUAAUAUAAGAUGCAUGUUAUUGUGCACUUAAAGUAUUUUCCACUGUUUCUGCCCUUAUACUCCAAACUCAUAAAUUCUAUGCAUUUCCUGAUAGCUCUAAAAUAUGAUAAAUCUAUAGAACUUCAGCAUAAGCUUAGAUCUAAGUUGGUAACUAAGUUGGUAUCUUGCAUUGGUGCUUUAGGGCAUCAAAAUCACAUUAUUGUAGUUUGUAACACAAUGCAUAAAAAUCACAUUAUUGUUUGCAUUGGAUCUUUAAUUGAGCACCACAAGCUACAUUUAAAUAGAAAAAUGACUUGUCAUAUUAUGAGUACAUGGAUUUUGUUUUACCCGUAGCAACGCAUGGGCAUUUAGCUAGUAAUUAACAAAUCAAAG
Panicum virgatum (switchgrass) is the source of this 948-nucleotide long non-coding RNA. RefSeq lists it as uncharacterized. Lineage: Eukaryota; Viridiplantae; Streptophyta; Magnoliopsida; Poales; Poaceae. The transcript is spliced from 3 exons. The record is from RefSeq and is a predicted model, not a curated record.